This 468-nucleotide ribosomal RNA is filed under the name uncultured bacterium. RNAcentral describes it as "partial 16S ribosomal RNA". It matches the Rfam family "Bacterial small subunit ribosomal RNA", at positions 28 to 507 of the family's 1533-position model. The record is from RNAcentral.
GACGAACGCUGGCGGCGUGCUUAACACAUGCAAGUCGAACGGAAAGGCCCUGCUUUUGUGGGGUGCUCGAGUGGCGAACGGGUGAGUAACACGUGAGUAACCUGCCCUUGACUUUGGGAUAACUUCAGGAAACUGGGGCUAAUACCGGAUAGGAGCUCCUGCUGCAUGGUGGGGGUUGGAAAGUUUCGGCGGUUGGGGAUGGACUCGCGGCUUAUCAGCUUGUUGGUGGGGUAGUGGCUUACCAAGGCUUUGACGGGUAGCCGGCCUGAGAGGGUGACCGGCCACAUUGGGACUGAGAUACGGCCCAGACUCCUACGGGAAGCAGCAGUGGGGAAUAUUGCACAAUGGGCGGAAGCCUGAUGCAGCAACGCCGCGUGCGGGAUGACGGCCUUCGGGUCGUAAACCGCUUUCGCCUGUGACGAAGCGUGAGUGACGGUAAUGGGUAAAGAAGCACCGGCUAACUACGUG